CAGGUCAGGCUGUCCAGUAACAUGUUAUACAUCAGGUCAGGCUGUCCAGUAACAUGCUAUACAUCAGGUCAGGCUGUCCAGUAACAUGCUAUACAUCAGGUCAGGCUGUCCAGUAACAUACUAUACAUCAGGUCAGGCUGUCCAGUAACAUGCUAUACAUCAGGUCAGGCUGUCCAGUAACACAUCAGGUCAGGCUGUCCAGUAACAUGCUAUACAUCAGGUCAGGCUGUCCAGUAACAUGCUAUACAUCAGGUCAGGCUGUCCAGUAAUACAUCAGGUCAGGCUGUCCAGUAAUACAUCAGGUCAGGCUGUCCAGUAACAUGCUAUACAUCAGGUCAGGCUGUCCAGUAAUACAUCAGGUCAGGCUGUCCAGUAACAUGCUAUACAUCAGGUCAGGCUGUCCAGUAACAUGCUAUACAUCAGGUCAGGCUGUCCAGUAAUACAUCAGGUCAGGCUGUCCAGUAACAUGCUAUACAUCAGGUCAGGCUGUCCAGUAACAUGCUAUACAUCAGGUCAGGCUGUCCAGUAACAUGCUCAACAUCAGGUCAGGCUGUACAGUAACAUGCUAUACAUCAGGUCAGGCUGUCCAGUAACAUGCUAUACAUCAGGUCAGGCUGUCCAGUAACAUGCUAUACAUCAGGUCAGGCUGUCCAGUAAUACAUCAGGUCAGGCUGUCCAGGUACAUACGUUUCAGUAACAACAGACUGUCAGGUUAUUAGAUAUAUACGUUUCA
Long non-coding RNA from Oncorhynchus keta (chum salmon), 733 nucleotides. RefSeq lists it as uncharacterized. The record is from RefSeq and is a predicted model, not a curated record. Lineage: Eukaryota; Metazoa; Chordata; Actinopteri; Salmoniformes; Salmonidae. The transcript is spliced from 4 exons.